CCCCCCGCGCCCCCCCCCCCCUUUCCCGCACUGCUUCUGUUGGAAACUACCGGGAUGGGGAGGGCCCCACGCGGAGGGGCCUCCGAGCAGCGCGGAACCUCCGCGGCCGCGCAGUGGAGAGGAGGCGCUGCCCCGGCUUCGGUGUCCGCUCAGCGCGGAGCUUCACCCACUUAAACCCCCUCUUGGUGCGCUCUUUUAAGCUCGGCGGGCCCGGGCAGGAUGUUUAUACUGAGCAAUGUAAACACGGGCUCGGGGGUGCUUUAAUAAAAAGAAAUCGGCGAAAACUCCCUCUGCCUCUCGAAAUGCCCUUUUCUGCCUCCGCCGCCGGUCCGGGGAUGGGAACGGGCUUCGGUCCCCUCUCCCGUUCCGAGGUUUCUUUGGGGCUCUUUCGCUUUCUUUCUUUCUUUCUUAUAUAUAUAUAUAUAUUUAACUUUAGGGGGGAGGUUGUUUAUAAAUCUGCGCUUCACAAACGGCUGAAUGCCGAGAGCCCCGUGCUCGGCUCGCUCGGAUGCCGCACACACAUUCACCGGGCUGGGGAAGGGGGGGGGGAACGGGACGGGAAGGAGAACGGGAAGGAAUAGUCCUUACCGCCCCCCCGCUUUCCUCCCAACCCUCCAGAAAAAAAAAAAAAAAAAAAAAAAAAAAGCCCUUUUCGAGCAUCUUCCCAUCGGGAGGGCUGUCGCUCGCUCGAGGUAAGUCGCUUUAAAGCUUUGUCACCUUUCUUGCGCGUUUAAAUCCACGCUCGCGAUGGGGGCUGUUAGGGUCGGGGGUUGGGGGGGGACACGGCACGGCGGCAGCUUUGGCUGCGUAGGGUGCGAGAGGGGCAAUGUGCGGCUCUGAGGUCGGGGAAAGGAAGAGAGAAAGGAAAGAGAACACAGGGAAUAAGAAGAAAUUUUCCCCUUCCACCCCUCACCUCCCUCUAAACCCCUCCGACCGAUGCAGGCCGCGCUGGAGGGCUGCGCCGCUAAAGAGAGCAUCCCCAAAGCCCCCUCUUUCAGGUUCGCUUUUAAAGGAUAUAUAUAUAUAUACACAUAUAUAUAUAUAAGUACUAUUAUUAUCACGUUUUGAAUGAUAAUUGAAGCCUUCUUAAAAAGAGGGGCAGCGGAUACCGAUCGGGUUUCCGAACUCCCUCCGCGUUAUUGGCGAGCAGUUGCGAGCAGCCUGCAGGGCGCCCGUCCCAACAGCACCGACAGGGAUUUCGCAUGGGGGGGCUUCCUUUUCUUCUUACUUUUUUUCCUUCCCCCCCCCCCCCCCCCCUUUUUUUUUUCUUUUUUUAAACCCUCCCUUCCUUCCCUUUCCCGUCGUUUUCUCCCGCUCCGCAAAUAAAAACAAAUCCCCGUGGGAAACGGAGGCGGAGGGGGAAUUUUGGGGAUGGGAGAACCCCCAGAGCAGGGAGGGCACGGAGGCAAACCUUAACCCCAAAUUGGCACUGUUAGGAAGUCACCCCUCUCCCGUCUGCUCGCAGAUUUCGGGCGGACAGUGCAGAUAAACCCUCCGCUUAGCGAUGCUUUCUAUUUAUCUCGGGGGCAGCGCAUCGCUGAUUCCCCCCCCCCUCCCCACACACACACGCAAACCCACCCCGUGCCACGAAAUGGGUAUUUUUCACCACUCUGAGACCGAAUUCCCCCAUUAUUCCCCCAUUCUUCCACCCCCCCCCUCCUCCCCCCCAAAAGAAACUCCCGGGAUGGAGCUCGGGAAGCGGCACAAAGAGACAGCACAAAACCCACCUUCAACCCCCCCCCCACCUCCAGGGCAGCGCUCCCAUCGGGAAAUACAUCUCUGCGCGGAAAUCAAAGCGUUCCACUCCGGACAGAACCGCUCAAAGCGCCUUUCCCCCCUCCCCACCCCAUCCAGGAGUUUAGGUUUUAUUUUUCGGGGGUGUGAAGGUUCGGUUUCCGAUGGAUUUAUGCCGUCCGGAGGACGCUGACGUGGAAAUAGAUGGCUCCGAUUUUUAUAGGCCUCGUGGUGGGAAUAGGAGGAAAGCUGGAAGGUUUUCUAUACGGCACAAAGAAACGGGGAGUUGAGUGCGGGACACGGGGGUGAGCGAGGGGGGUCGUCGGGUCUUUAUUGCUCUCCCCAGAAAUAGAACCUUAGGAUCGUGUAUAAGGGAAAGAAGUGCCUCCUGGGCCGGGCGGAGGAGCGGGGCUCGCUGGUUGCUGUUGUUUGCUGUCGGUUUGGCUGUUUGCAUCGGGUCCGCCCCCAGCGAAGGGGAAGGGGAGAUGGAGGGGGUAGGGGGGAGCAGGAAAAAAAUAGGAACUGGAAAAAGAAAAGGAUGAUCGGGAGCAAUGAGGCAAUUAGCCCCGCUAAUCCCGACCCGUUCUGUCCCGUUUUGCCGGACCCCGCUUCCCUCACGGCCUCUUCCCCCCCUUCCCCUCCCUGAAAGCGGGCCGUGUUUUGUGUAAAAAUAGACAAAUCCGAGCUUUCUUCCUUUUCCUGCGCCGAAGGUAUUUUUCCUCGCUAAUUGCUUAAGUGAAGUCAACCCCGCGAGCAGGCCGCGUGUAACCCGAGGAUGGAAAUGGAUCUAGGUGGGACCGGCGGGCGCUGCUCGGGGUGUUCCUGCCGCCCGGACCACCCAGAGAGAGGGGAGGGACCGCCGCAUGUCCCCCUCCCCCCCAACCCCUCCAUCCCCAUCCCCUCCUCCGCUGCUUCGCAUUAACGCCGCCCGCGGACCCCCCCCAACCCGGCACUGCCCCCACUCCGCUCUGCUCUCGCAGUCCCCGCCGCCCCGGGUCCGUUGCGAAUCGAUCCCUAAACGUUUAUUUAGGGCCGAGGGGUGCGCCGUGCCGAAAGCCUUUAGGCUUUAUUCGGCCCACGUGCUGAGAUCUCCGCACCGAACCGAGCGGAGGAACCCUCUGUUCCAACCCCCCCCCCCCCGCCUCCCCAUCGCCCUCAGAUCCUGAGAGCAAAAUUCCCCCCUCCCCUUCCCAAAACCGACGGCGUGGGGAAAAGCUUUGCCCCACGCGUGUCCGUACGUGCACACAGGGGAGGACAUCCAAGAGGAAUUUUGGGGACGAAACACAGCAACACUGGGGCUGCAGGGUUCUGCCAAGCUGAAGUUCAGGAGUUGGUCAGGAGGGAGAAGCGAAAGGAAAACCGUACAGAUUUUCCCCCUCUUUGUCCCUCUUCCCCCACCCCCCCAAAACAACCCCCCCAUCCCCCCCCCAGAAAUAAAAGCCCACAUUUUCCAUGACGUCCACCGGUGAAACGUUGCAGCGCAGGAAUGCACAGCCCUGACAGAGCCGCUCCCCGCGGCACACGGCCGUCCCAGCGCCCCGCAGCCCCCAUUACACGCCAGAGAUCUUUUAUAUAUCUGCGGGUGUUUAUAUCCCUGCUCGGGGACGGGGAGCUGGGAUGCUUUCCCAGGAGGGAUGCUGUGGGAGAGGGAAUAUCGGGAGAAGGGAUGGAGCUGAGCCGGAGAGCAACGAGAGAUGCUCUCGGCCGCCCCCGAUAAAACAAUUGAUCCUAAAGGCGAAGCGCAGAUCCGGGUUGAAACGGAUUUGGGGCGUCGGGGCUUUCUCCGACACGGUUUUCCUGAGGGGUUUCCCUCCAGCGACCCCAAUAGGAAAAGAAUUGGGGGUCGGGAGGGGAGAUCGGAGCUUAAUGUGGGUCUUUAAGGAAGGGAGAUGGGGACUCCCCGCUCCGUUCCUGCGCUUCCUCAGCGCGGCCCGAGAGCCGGGGCAGAUUCGGGGCGGUCCUCCCGGUACCGGGGCUGAAGAAGAGCCGAACCCCCGAGAAGGCACCCCGCUUCUCCCAGCUCCUUCGCAGAGCGCUGUGCCACGCAUAAAAAAACAAAACCCAUCGUUCUCAGCGUUUUUUUAGCCUCACAUUCCGGUGGGUGAGAGGUAACACGGGAACUUCGGUGCCUGCAAAACAUUUCGCUCCUCCGAGCCUUUCGAGGGCUGGGAAUCACCUCCAUUUCCCCGACGUGCCCUGGAGAGAAACGGGGACAGCGAGGGGCUUCCCUGCGUCCGCACCCCGCCCGGCCCCGCCUGGAUCCCUCCAUUACCGAUCUCCAUUCGUUGGGUUUUCUUUUGUUAGUUAGUUAGUUUGUUUUUUCCCCAACCCGAAACUAAAAUCCCCGUCGAAAUUCGAACCACAGCGCUGCACUCGGAGCGAGGGCCACCCGGUUCGGGGUUCCGUACAAAAUCCGCACGGGGAGCUGCGGGAAGUCACAGCGGAACGAACGCGAAGGGGUACGGCAUGGGGCUGCUAUCCCCUGCCAGCCUCGGGGGACAGCGUGGACUAUAGGGAUCGCUAUAGGGAAAAUGGCAGGGAACCCGGGAGGACCCUACGGUGCCCUCCCUGGUGUGGGAUUCUCGGAGGGAGAAAGGUGUUUUGCGAAGCAUCACGCGGCCCUGAGGGGACAGGAGGUGACAGCCCCACACCAAAUGUCCCCGGGCUCCCCAGCAUGGGGGUGUGAAAUGAAAUCCACGAUGAACGCCGUCUGUAAAUUACAGCCGCUCACUCCGAGGGGGUGAAGGGUCGGGGCUGCCAACCCUUUUUGCAGUGUCACCUGUCGUGCAGGGCGGCCCGGAGGGGCAAAAAGGGCACGGGGGUCCGCGGGGACACACGGCAAAACGAUCCACGCGGGAGGCGGCCGUUCCCCGUGGGGAGACGGAGAGCAUAGCGGCUCCCAGCGAAGGAUGCUGAGGGCAGGGAGAGCGCUGUGUCGGCCCUCGGGUACACGGGGGAAACCCGAAGCGGUUGUUUUUGGAUUGCGAGAAGGUCCCUGGGGCGGCAAAAGGGCUUUAUCCCUUUGUCCCUUUGCUUCGUGCCCAUAGGGUCCUGCCCUGCGCUGCUCAGGGAUCCACCUGCAAAUCCAGCCCCACAGCUCGGAGCAUCCCUCUGGGUUCCGGGGGAUAAAAUGACCAGUGGGGCCAUUUCAUUUCAAGCAUAGGAUGCAGAUGUCCGUGCAAAGGGCAGCACGCGUGGGGUGUGCCGAGCAGGGAAAGGCCGGCGGGGCUGCGUCCGAGGGGAACCUCCUGAGUUCUUAACCUUGCCUCUAUAAUAAAUCUCAGCCCCGCUCCAAACCUCCCCCCCCCCAGAGCCCAAAGAGAGGAGUUUCAGGACUGGCGUUCAUAAACAACGAAAAGAAUCCCCGUUGCAAACAGCUGCGGCUCCCUGCUCGCUUCUCCCCUCUUUGCAGAGAUCUGGGUUAGGCUUUCCACGGAAACCCUCCCGGCAGAAACUAUUUUCCAGCACUUUUCUUAAUGAGCGAAUUCCCAAUUAACGGCGUAUCCCUUAUGUGGGGGACCCGACGGCUCCGUAAUGUACCACAGCGCGAGCUCUGGGGCCGUAUUGUGGGGUGCUGUGGGUUUAUGGGCCCCACUUUUGCUUUCAGUUUCCCAGCACAGAACUAUAGAUAUAUAUAUAAACACUAAAAAAUUGGUUAAUUGCCUUUCCUACCUCCUUAGGAAAAAAAAAAUACACAAAAGAGUGAGUAGUAAAAUUAUACUUUUUGGUCACUAAGCCAAAUAUUAUCAGCGAUAUAUAUAUGUGUGUAUAUAUAUAUAUAUGUAUACAUACGAAAGCAUAUAUGCAUAUGUGUGCAUUCAAAAAUGAAUUGCAGGGAAUACAGUGCUCGGUUGGUCGGCGUUCUGAGGAAGGUGUUGGGUGAGUGCAUGAAAUACCCGAACCGAAGUGGGAAGGGUUUAUAUUAUGCCCCGCAGUUAAGCGGUUUCUGCGGCAAAAUCACUGCAGUUUUGUGAGCAUCGUGGGAACGGUGCAACCAUUUCCCCCGGGUUUAUUGGGGAAUGGGGUGUGAGGGUGCGGGAGAGGGGGGAGGAAAGGAGAAGAAAGCUGAGGGGGAAGAAAUACUGGCGCAGAAUUCGCUAUAGGUUCGAAUAACGAAGCUAGAAAUGAUGCGGUUCUUCCUAUUUCAAACCCGCUUGCUGAACCGUAAAACGUCGCAGCGCGUUUUGCAGAACACCUUCAGCACCGCGCUCUGAUUCUCCCUUAAAUCUCACUGCUAAAACCGUCGCAAAGCCGUUUUGCAAAGAAUCCCUUUUAAACCGGUGUGCGUGGAACUGUCUGCCCGUUCCCGUAUCGGAUUUGGGGGCUGUCUGCUAGCAAAGAUGCUGCGUGGCCGUGUAGCAAUAUUCCCCCCCCCACCCCUUCGGCCGCCAGAGUCGUUCGUUUUCCCUAUGGGAACGAUCCCACCCGCAGCUCCCAGUGGGACGGGGCCGUCUGUGUCCCUCCCCACGCAUGUGGGACGGGGCAGCCAUCGGGGAACGGUAAAGAGCAUCGAAAUGCUCCGUCUGCACGGCUCCGGUGGGCGGGGGGGACCCACGAGCAGGCAGGGGAUCCCGGCUGUGUGCAGCCGUAGGGAUGGAGGGAAAUACGCAGCGCCCGCACUUCGGGAAGGGGAGAUUUCGUUCCGUCGGUGGGGGAUGGAGAGAGCACCGGGUCCGGGCUGCCCUGAGAUCGGUCACUGAGAAGAGGAGGAUGUGGAGAUGGGGAGUGGAGGGGGACGUAGUGCCGAGAGUGGGGGGAGAGUGCAAGCGGGGAAGGAGAAAGGUGGGGGAAAAAAGGACGACGUGCAGAAACAAGGCAGAAAAUAAAGAGCGGGGGACAGAGAGAGAAAAAAAAAGGAAGAAAAAUACAGAAAAGAGUGAAAGACAGACAGAGAAAAAAAAUGAAGAAAAGGGAGACAGCGAGAAAAAGAAAGAAAGAAAAGAGGAAAAUAAACGAGAAAGGAGGGAAAGAAAGAUGGAAAGAAAUAUAUAGAGAAAAGAAAAAAUGAGAAAAUGAAGGAAAGAAAGAAUGAAUGAAUGGUGAAAGACAGAAAAUGAAAGAAAGAAGAAAGGAAGGAAAGGGCAAAACAGAAGAAGGCAAAACAAAGAGAAAAAGAAAAAAAAAGAAAAAGAAAAAAAGAAAAAAAAGAGAAAAGAGAAAAACGAAAGAAGGAAAGGAAAGGAAAUGGGAAAAGGAGGAGAGAAAGAAAAAGGAGAAGAGAAAGAAAAAGGAUAAAAAACGAAAGGAGAAAAAAAGAAAAAGAAAAAGAGAAAGAAAAGAAAAAAGAAAAAGGAAAAAAAGAAGAAAAAGAGAAAGGGAAAGAAAAAGAAAAAGAAAAGGGGAAAAAGAAGAAAAAGAAAAAUAGAAAGAAAAAGAAAAAUAAGAAGGAAAGGAAAAGAAAAAGGACAAAAAUGAGAAGAAAAAGAAAGGAAAAAGGGAACGAAAUAAGGAAAUAGAAAUCAGAGUGUGAAAGAAAUAGUGAACAUUAGAAAGCAUAAGAGUGCAUAAACAAACGAAAUAAAGGAGAGAAUGCUAACAAGUAAAACAGAAAUGAAGAGAAUGGGAAAGCGAGAAAUAGUGAAAGAAAGACAAAGAAAAACGGGGAAGUAGAAAGCGAAAAAAAAGAGGGAAAAAUAAAUAAGAAAAAUAGAGAGAAUGAGAAAAAGUGAGAGUGAAGGGGAGGAAAUAAAGAAAUAAAGAAAAAAGAAGUAGAAAUGAAAAAAAGAAUAAAGAAAGAGGAAGGGGGAAGGGAGAGAAGGAGAAAAGAAAGGUGGAAGGAGAAAGGAGAAGAGAGGGAAAAGAGUGAGAAGGAAAGAGAAGGAAGGGAGGAAGGGAGGAAGGGAGGAAGGGAGGAAGGGAGGAAGGGAGGAAGGGAGGAAGGGAGGAAGGGAGGAAGGGAGGAAGGGAGGAAGGGAGGAAGGAAGGAAGGAAGGAAGGAAGGAAGGAAGGAAGGAAGGAAGAAAAGAAGGAAAGAAGGAAAGAAGGAAAGAAGGAAAGAAAAAGAAAAAAGAGAGGAAGAAAGAAAGAGAAAAGGCAAAUGAACGCCCCGCAAAGCCAAUCUCAGGGCGCAGUCAGGGCGGUCACCCAGGCACGCAGCGCUGUCGGGUCAGAGCGGCGCGGCCCCAUCCCGUCCCAUCGGGAGGUGCCGCUCACCGCAUCCCUCCGCACCGCCAACCGGGGGAGAAAAGCCCCGAACACCGCGUUCCAUAUUUCGAGGAGUUCUGCGCGCUUUCGGGGUUGUUGAAAUUUCGCUUUGAUGUUUUAUUGCCUCUCUCAUCUUUUCCUGGAGAGAGGAACCGGCGCUGUGUGAGCACCCCGUACCCCCAACCCCCCUUACCCCCGGGCAGGGCCACAAACGAGAACUGCCAUUUCACACCGAUUUCACACCGAUUUCACACCCAUUUCACACCCAUUUCACACCCAUUUCCCCGGGGUUGCCCCGCUCCGCUGCUGCCCCGCGGCUCCGCGCAAAUUGCGCGCCCGCUCCGCGCCUCCUCUGCCUGCGGUCGGUCCCGCAUUCGCUCGGCCGGCUCCGUAGGUGGCCGUGUAUAUUUUUGUUGAAGUAGUGUUUAUGUUAAUGAAAAAGUCUGAGAUUACAAACAGACCACUGAACGCCCGGGAUGUUGCUGCCGGAUUGGUCUACGUUGUGUAUUUUAAACCUAAUCAGGAGCAAAUAUGAUUUCCCCCCCCCCCCCUCCCGUGUAUGUGUGUGUGUGCAUUAUUUUUAGCAGAAAGACGUACGGGAUGUUUGGGGAGCCCCGUGCCACCCCUGUCCCUUUACCCAGUGAUUUCGGAGCUGUGUUUUUCCCUGUGUGGCUGGGGAGGGAGUGGGGAUGCAGGGAGAGGUGUCAGAGCAGCUAUCCGAGAAUUACCCCCAGAACAACGAAAACGAUCCCAUUGCUCCUGGAAAGGGAAAGGAAGGGCUCAGCUCACCCCCUCCGAGCUCCCUCCGACCCCAUAGAGGGGUUUCCAUGCGCCGGUGGCAAACGGGUGCGCGUCCCUAAAGCCUCGCCUAAGGGAUGGGGUAUCCUUUCCUUUGGGUAUUUUCUUUGCCGGGAAUUGCUGGGCACAACCUGAAAUUUGCAUCAAAAACCCCUUCCAAUUCGGCAGUGAAAAAUGCCAUUUACAAUUUGCCACAUGAAAAAAAAAAAUAGAUAAAUAGGCAGAAAUACUGAUAGAUUUCAGCCCUUGUAAAUGCCAAGUGUGCAGCAAUCAGUUCAUCCAUUGCUUAAAAGUGGAGGUCCGGAGAGCUUUUGGGUUUUUCUUUCAGGAGGGAGCUGUGAUUUUCUUUGAUUUCAGAGCCUUUUGGGGUCCCUUUGAUUCCGGUUUCCUUAACAAAAAAAAUCACUUCUGGAACCCCCUCAGCUGCUCCUAUCUCCCCUUCCGUUGCUGUGCUGGUGAAGAUUCAAAGAAAAUAACCCUAUUUUUGCAGACGUUCCUCUGCUGAUCGAUCACUCCCAGCACAGAGGGAUGCAUUUGGGGUCCCGGCAAAAGGGUUUCUCCCCCUUGACAGCUUUGCAAGCAACAGUGAGGCGGCUUUGGCAUCGCCUUCCUUCCCAAUAUUUGCCUUUUGUGGGCAAAAGCUGUCGGUGGAGCAGAGCUCUCCGGCACGGCCAGCCGGAGGAUUUGUGCACUCCGAUGUUUUACUACUGUUAUGAUUCCUCAUUGACUGAAAGUACAAAGAAAAUCGCCGUGUAAACAAGUCGCCGUCUGAAGGGGAUGUGGGCGAAAUUCGGGGCAAGCAGAACCUCAGCAGGGAUUUAAGGGAAGAAGGGAAACAAGGGGAAAACACGACAAUCCUGUGUAAGGUUUUCUCUAUGCAAUGGCAGUAUCACUUCGGAGCUGUGCAGGGUUUUUUUUCCCCAUGUUUCAUGGGGCAGAGGAGAGCCCUAAAGUGGUUUUUUCUCCCUGAGAAUAUCUGGAUGGCAUCGAUCUGUCUCCCAACAGAAAGAAGUAGGUUCCAGCAUGAGGCUUAGGGGGUUUCUUCAUUCUCCCACCUGAAACUAGCAGUUUUUUUUUUCCAUGAAACUGUAUUUUAUUGCAUUCUUUCUUUUGAGCGGGUCAAUCCCCCCCCUUUUCUUUUAACCUAGCAACAUUAAGCAACGCUGCAGAGGGAUUGUCAACACUACAGCAUUUGGCUUUGGGGAUAACACCACUGCUGUCGGAGCCAGGUAGGCCCUGCAGAGGUGGGGGGCAGCAGGAUGGAGGUUGAUGCCCCCCCCAGCGCUCACCCCCAGGUGCUCACCCCAUGGGCAGCCCCCAUGGGGUGACCCACUGAAGGACGGGGACAGGGGGUUGUCCCCACCAUGGCACACACAUGCAGACAUGUGCACACACAUGUGCACGCGUGUUCACGCGCACACCCUCCUCUAACCCCGCAUCCGACCGCGCCGCUCCCGAGCAGCGCUAAUGAUGCCGCAGCACCAGCGAUGCGGUGCGAGGCAAAAAGCAGAUGAAAGUGAUGUCACAUUAAUGUCAGCUCACAACUCGAGCCCACACAGCCUUGAUUGCUCUUAUUAAUCUUGCCAAUUUGUCUGUCAGCACUCAACUAAUCCCUAAAUAGCCUCCCAACAGGUGCUUUAUGCUUCCGCCACAUCGCUGCUCCCCGGCAUCCCCCACCCUUCCCCCCCGAGCCCCGGAGCCCUCCUCGGUGACACCGUCUCUCUCCUGUCCAUCUGGGAGCAGCUCCUUCCCCGGGAGGGCUGGAAGGGAGAGAGGCAGCUUUGCAGAUGUUGUUUAGUCUGUGCACAGAGGGCGCGGAGCUGGGGGCUUCCAAAUGGAAGCGAUGGGAGGCGGGGAGGGGAUGCUGGAGAAAAUCACCUUGGGUUGGGUGGGGGUAAAUGGGGGAUGAAUAACACCCCCCCCCCCAAACUGGAGUUUGCUCACAUCACUGUGAAUAUCUACACUUAUAGCACACGAUGGUUGCAUUGCUUUUAUGUAUCACUGGCUUGUUGGUUUUAUUGAGAGGGGAGGAAAGCGUAGCGCAAAACCGAAGCUGCAGUGGAAAAGCCACAUUACACCCUGAGCAGCUUUAUCCUGCAAUUAAGCCGAGGGUCAAACAUUUCCUUUGCUGUGCUAUCAGAAAAUCCACUGGCUUAUUGCAGUGUAUAUUUAGCUGUGAAGUUCCCGCUGAGCUCAGAGUGGAAGGCUGAAAUUAUUGUGCUCCAUCCUCCCAGCACUCUUAUUUAGCACAGUAGUUUUAAACACAGGUUUUGCAUGCAGGAAACCCUACGAACCACUAAAGUGGAGCCUAAGCUGCUUUCCUGCAUUAAAAUAAAAAAAAAAAAAGAAAGAAAAAAAGGGAUAUAUAUACAUGUAUUUUGGUUUGGCAGCUCGCUGCAUGGAGCAGCUCGCACGCAGCCUUCAGCCCCAUGCGCUGCAGCUCACCUGGAGGAUGCUGUGCUCUGCAGGAGGAGCUGCCAAACCCGGCUCUGCUGGAGCAGGCUCCAGUUUUACAUCCGAAGUUGGCUCAGGCUGCUUCCAGCCCUGCGCUCAGCACUGCAGGAAGGAAGCUUUCAGGGCAUCCUCCACUGCUCUUCCAAGAGAUUCACCAAGGGGAGCCUACCCGCUGCUAGCGCUUGGGGCUGCUCAUCAUUAACCCUUGGGUGCUUCAGAUCAGGUCCUGAAAGCCCUCUAAAAACACCAUUUGCAACCUCAAGCCAUUUCCCUCCAUCCUGACCUGGGUUUAUUAUCGGGAGACAGAUAGAUUUUUCCUUCUUUCUCCCCAUCCAUUUAUUUCAACCAAUAAGACGAUCCAUCACGGCGCGCUGGAACCGACCUACGAUCCGGGGAUAUUCUUAGAUACUCAGCAUGUCAGGAAACGGCUCACAGCCCCACUUGAUGCAAAUAUUUGGACGAGCGAGAGGUAGGAAGGAUUGUCCAAAUGUUUACUGAAGGCUGUUGAUAGCCCAAGGAUUUAUAACUGGCGCAUAAUGCCUGCCCCCACACAGCUCCUCUAGCAGGUGCAUCCAGUUUCAGCAUGACACAUGGUAUGCGCGUGCUCUGGGAACGGGGAUGCAGGAGAAAGUGCUUUCACAGGUCUCGCCUCCCUCUUCCCAUCUUCAUUAAGGUUUGGAGAGGCAAGGCAGGAGCUCAGGAUCAGCUCUGGUGAUAGAGAUCCCCAGCAGCAAUUUACACCUGAAGGCAAAACUUAAGCAUCGAGCCCGUUUGGUUGGAAUUUCCCAAGUGAAACCAAGGCUCUGAAUUAUUUAGGCCCAUUGUCACACUCCUUCAGUGCUGAGAUGGAGAAAUUCACAUCAUUCUAGCUAUUCCCCUUUCCAUUUCACUUCCUAACUCACACCACCAGGGUUUGAUCUCUUCUUCCCCACAGUAAUCCCUAAUUACUGUUGGGGGGACAUCACUGCCAACUGAUUGGGUUUAACCUUUUCUGGUGUCCAAGGAGGAGCAGUUUUUUGGUGGCUUUGAGGACCCCAAUGGAAAUGCCCCAGCACCCACUGCCAGACAGCCCCUACACCACUGACAGAGAACAGCAUGCUCAGAGCAGAGCACGUUGGCCAACUAGAGUUGGAGAUACACUCAAGGAAAGCUUUAGUACCUUGCCCAAGGCCAACGAGCAAUGGCAUUCAAUGGCAGAAAGAAGUCAGUUUGCUGAUACCCUGUCCUGCAUAACCCGUCGCCUAGAUGCCCUCAGGUUGCAGGGAGACAUCAGAUGGCUCCAACACAACCUCCUGCUCAAAGCAGAUCCAUGGUUCAUGCAAGAUCAGUCCACUAUAGCUUUGUGUAGCUGAGCCUUGAAAACCUCCAAGGACAAAGCCCAGCAGCCAUGCAUAUGGAUAGUUCAGGCAGCAGAGGAGCUGUUGGUGCCCUUGUGCCCAUCCAACCAGGCUCUCAGACUCUGCCAUCAGCUCAGUGGCUGCUUUGUCUGUAAGCAUUCCUACAUUGCAUUACUGAGAAUCCUGUGGAACAGGAGAAAUGGGCACGGAGCUGAAUCACUCAAGUCUGCUAAUUGCCUUUUCCUCAACCAUUCAGUAGGUUUUGACUAUGCUAGGAACAAGAACGCAUGCACUCAGCAUGCUGCAGACGCCCAGACAACGUGCUUUUCUGUGUAACUAGCAGCAAUUGUAUCUGCUGCAGAACAGCCUUUAAUUCAUUGCAGCCCCGGAUGGCAGAGUUUGCUGACUGCUCAGGCAGGAAUACAAUGGCCCUAUUGUUUUGCUAAGGGAAGAUUUCUUUGUUGCAUGCUGCCGUGUAAACUGUAUGUUUUCUAUCUGUUACCUGAUUCGUUUCGAUGGAAUCCCUUAGAUAGGCUUAAGGCAAUCUGCUGUCCUGCUCUGGAGCAAUGGGAGAAACUCUGGGAGGCUGAGGACCUGGCCAUUUGUGUUACCUCUAUUUGGCUUGCCUGGAAAGAAGGAAGAGAAUUUGGUGUUCUUCAUGGGAGCAGAAAUUGAGUAAUAAAAUACACGGGGAAAAAUGUAGUAAGUGCUCAAAUUCCAAAGUCAUCUGCUGUGCUCGAUGAAGGUUUUCUUUAUAUAUCAAAAGAAUUCGGUCCUGGUUUUGGUGUCACAUUCUCAGCAUGACCUUAAAAGUGUAGCUGUAACUCAGACUAAUCCGGACUUCUCUCUCCUUAAACCUAUUGCUCAACAAACACCCAACAGUGUGGAAAUGUGUUUCCUAGAUGAGAAUCUUGAGCCAUCAACGGGCCCCAAGCCAGAGGGAUUCUGCAAAUGCACAUGGUGGUCAUGUUGUGCACAGCCCAAAGCCUUCUUCACAGCUGUGCCAACCAUGCUUCCAUACCAAUCUCUCCAAUUUCUCUUCGUGUUAGCAGUGGGAUUAUCUCCCUGGACUUGUUGGGUUGUGGUAUGGGGAUAGUCUCCCUAUAGAUCUCCUUCCACAGGUGCUUCUCUCCCCAGACCCUUUGUGUAGAUAUAGUAAAGCAGGGGUUUAAAAGAUUGGUAAAAGGAUUGGAUUUAAGGCGUUGCAGCCCAAAAAUACAAUCCUAAAACCUGAAUUUGCCUGUCAUCUGAACCCAGAUGCAUCCACACGGCAUGGGGGCAACAGCAAGCUGUGGCAGAAGAGAGGGUCUUGUGCAGAUAUGUUCUCCGGUCUCUGUCACAGCAGUUUUAGGAGAGGAAGACUAUGGAAAUCCAGUUAAAAACUGCAAAACCAGUAGGAUCUGGGCCAGGCUUAACCAAAGCAGAAAUAAAUCAGCUCAGCCACUGGUGUGUUUCAGUGCAUUUGGGCUUAGAGGCGAUGUGGGCGACGGCUUGUGGUCCAGACCAGCAUGGUGCUUUUAGCUAUAUAUAAUUAGAUGUUUUUUCUACUGCAAACCAUUACUGACAGAUUGAAAGGGUUUUAUUCCACAGGAUUUUUCCUGCCUCGUCUGCCAGGGAACAAGCAGGCCUCACUCAAGCUCUGCUUCGUUGGUGUAAAUCACAGCAUGGGGCUACCUUAUCUCAGCCAGAGCCCCCGUGCAGGAAUGCUGCUCUGUCCAGCCCUCAGGCCACCCACCCCUGAUCCCGGGCUCCAGCAUCUGCUCCAGGCCCAAGCUCUGACCCUUCAGAGACAUAUUUUUGCAAGGUCAGGAGGUUGGGUGGUAAAAGGGGAGUGGAGAAUAGCAGGGGAACAGUGAAGGCUGGCUCUGCAAAGGGAUUUCAGGAGGAUGUUUACACUCGCCAUUAAAUGCAGGCUCGAGCCUGUUCUCUUCUCCAGAUUCACCACCCAUCUGCACUGUUUGCAUGCAAGCAUGCAUGAGGCACAGGCACAGUCCCAGCUUCAAAGCCUUCUGGAUGAGGGUGGUCCAUGCAUACUCUGCACCCUCGGGCCUUGGUUCUGCAACUUGGGCCAAGAAGAGCAAGGCAGGAGCAGUAAGACAGCCAGCCCUGCUGUGCAUUGCUGGGUCCUUCACAGGGCAACAAGGAUGCUUUCAGCACCAGUAAAAAAGUCAUACAGAAAAGCCAUAUGGAAGAGAGGUGGAAGAAGGGCCUGAUGUAGCUCUAGGCAGCCUGGUCUGGUGGUGGCGACCCUGCACGUAGCAGGGGUGUAGAAACUCAAUGAUCAUUGUGGUUCUUUUCAACCCAGACCUAUUCUAUGUUUGGGUCAAAGAAUGAUUUCAGAUGGAAUUUUUCUCUGAAAUUUCUGCUGCAUUUGUUUGGAAGGGCCACUAACUGCCUUCAUCCAAGAAACAGCUGCAAAGGGGUCUCUGGACGUGGCCUGACUAUCAUCAAGAACAAGGAGAGACUGUACUUGCAUCACUCCAAGAGACAUUUCAAUUAAGAGAGAGCAUUCCAAGCAAAAUUCUAAUUUUCUUAAACUGUUAAACUGAAAAUGGGUUUACAAAAUGACUUUUUGCACAGACAUUUGUGUAUAAUUUUUUUCCUGAAUGAAGAGGAAAAUGUCAUUUCCUUUCCUGUAAGAGCUGAUCUCUACAUAGCAGAUGAAGACUCCAACCUUUUCCCAAUGAAGUUAAGGGUUCGCUGUCCAAUAGAGUGGGUUGUGUGGUGAAUUCUUCCCUAACUACUCAUUGCAGUAAACCAUCCCAACUGCUACUGCAAGUGGUUGAAUCACUAAGCCUGAGCUCCGGGAAGCCAGCCCCAUCCAUCCCAGCCCAAGCUGUAUCUCCCUGGGGCUGGGUGCCAUCCCCAGUGGUUCCGUUCCCAUUCAACAGCCCCGAGGCCAAACCACCCACUGUAGCAUCCAUGAGUACAAUUCCCAUUCCAGCCCUUGCUUUCCUACAUGGAAGCUUGCAUCCUUCCCUCCUCCCUCCGCCCUCCCUGGUGGUGCAGCUGCUCGGCUCUGCGAGGGAAAGGCUCCCAGAUGUGCUUGAGAGGGAGCGGGCAGAGUCCCGAAUUCCACUCCGUGCUGAGCGGACUCUUUGUAUAUUUUGUUUUAAGGAGAAAAUAUGCAUCGAGUCCUCGGAGAAAGGCUGGGGACCAGGCACGUCCCUGUGAUCACACCGAGCACAGGGACUGCAAGCCAUCCACCCUCGGCUUUUCUCUGCUUGUGGGAUGGCAGCUCUCAGCACCAUCAGCAGCUGAAGCCCAUCUGCAUUACACAACAGGUCCUUCAACCCUUCACUGCCUCGAAGCACCCUUCCAGAAAAUGGGAUUUUCUGCUAAAAGAAACCCAAAAAACAGGCACCUAACCGCCCACAUUUGGUAUUUUUGGCUCACGAGCCGUGUGCCAUAUCAGAUCAAUAAAUAUUCACACACUCCUAAGUGCUUUGUGAAGUAGGCUUCGUUGCAUUUCAAGCACAUUUAGCUGUGGCACUUGGUAGCUACAUGGUUAUUGCGUGAGACAGUACAUUUAUGAAGUGUUGGCCUUCACUUAGUUAAUCACUUCAUUGAUGUGCAAUAUAAAAAUAGUAUGAAACUAAUUGUUUCCAUAGAAACAGGAACCCAGCAAAUUAUUUCGUAUCACAGCUUGGCAAAAGAAAAAGAAGAAACUGCUGUAAUUGUUCCCAUUAGCAAAACACAGAGGAUUCAUGCUCAAUCUCUACUACACUCAGCCUCACUCCUGCUGUGAAUUAAGGGACGAAAAGUCAGCACAGAACCACAGAAAAAAAGCACAGAAACAAGCUGUGCUUUAUUGAGUAUUUGUUGUUCUGCCACCAAAACAAUUUCCCUUCUGCUUUACAGGUUUCUGGCCAGCAGCUCCAAGGACUGUCACAGCCAUGUUGUGCGUUUGGGAACGUCAUGCAAUGGGGCUUUAACUGUGAAUGGAGGACAUCCUGGCCCCACUAUGGGUGGGAUAAGAACAACUCUCACCUCAAAGAUGUAACGAAAUAAAUCUUUAGCAAGAACAAACCUUCACUUCCUCUCUCAGUCACAAACCCCAGGAAAGAAAAAUAAAUCACAACGUGAGCUCACCCGCUCUCGGAGGAUACCACGUUACUCCUGAAGGCUACCACUCAAACUGGAGGUGUCCGUCCCUCAGAGAGAUCAACGAAUGCAGCAAAUUAAUGAGCAGCAUCAGCCCAAGCUUUGACAUGAAACCAGCCCUGAAAACAAAGCCAUGUGCAGUGCCAUGAGCCAGGCAAUCCUAAUUCUCCAUGUUACCUUCCCAUUCCGUGGCCUGUUGGUGGGACAAAGAGUUGGUACCCAUGAAAUCACCAUUUUAAGUGUGGCCAAAGUCAAGAGCGGAUAAAAGCCUGCCACGAUCAGUCUGAAUCACGGUUGAUGUGAUGGCCAGCAAUGGUCAGGAGUGGGACUGUGCUGCUGGUGUGCUCCCAGCAUUCAUCCCUUGGGCACUGAGGGCCAAUGAGUAUCUCUGGCUCAUCCCAAAACUCUGCCCCUCGUCUCCCCUAAUCCACCUAAUGCCUUUUCAACUGGAACCGGAAAAAGCAGCAGCAGGGUGUGUUUGUUUUUCUCAAUUGGCCGUGGCAAAGAGGUAGAAAUACACCUCCAAAUAGCAUUUCCUCCUCUCCUGAGAGAAGUCUCCGUAUGAGAGCUGUGUUGCUCAGGAAGCCUCAAACCAUCUCUGAAUGUGACCAAAUUAUAACAGCUGUGUCUCCGGUUGACACAGGUCUAAGAUAAAGACGGAUUGACUUUAAGCUGGGAGUACAAAACUGCACAGAAGCAGCGAUGUGGAUUUACACCAGAUAGCUUUUAUUCCUUCAAGGAUACUCAGGGGGAGAUGAACCAUGAGAUACCCACAAAUCGUGCUGAAGUCAGAAGACAUUUGGCCCAGACACUUCAGGGGGCUGAAAUGAGACUUUCCUCCUUCUUCUUCUUCUUUUUUUUAAACAAGAGAUCUUUGCAGUUUUGAAACAAUCCGUACAGUUAGCAUUGAAGAAAGUGUAAUUAGACACUUGGAGGACUGGAAGAAAUUAACUCCAACCACAGGCUGUCACUCAGACCAUUAUUUAAUUAUUCUCCCCAAAUGCGCAAAGCACUUAGUUUUAGAAUAACAGGAAAGAAGUCUAACUCCUCACCAACAGCUCAGUCUCUGGAUGGGGACACAUGCACAUAAAGCCAAUGGGCUCCCAAGCCAUAGGAUGGGGACAGGAACAAGCGCCUUGGGCACAACUUUGGGCUCUGAAGGAUGUGAUUGAUGCCUGAAUGGCUGGAACCCAGUCAACGGGAGUGCCCAGCCCAAGGUGCAACAGGCUGCGGGAGAGAAGAUCGCCUUCAGUUUCCAACAUGCCAAGGAAACCACUGAGAAAUUGCUGUUUUCCUUCUUCUGCAGCACCGGGCAGAGCCGUUGACUCACCCCUCGCUACAGAAGCCUGGCUAGAAAGAGAUUAUUGUGAUUUCUGACUGUUUCUUUCCUAACUACAAAAGGCCCCAUUCAUCUGGGCUAAUUUUGACGGGAGAGCAAGGGGUAUCAGUAGCAUGAACUGUAUCUGAGCGUCUCGACCGCAUUUCAGCAAGCCAUGCUUGUUGGCCAGUUCCAGCCAGUGAAAUGGAUAUCCUCCAUUUCAAGCUUUUUAGUGGAUCGUUUCUCUGGUUCUAAACAGAGGUAUCUUUUCUGGCCGUGGCAAGUUUGAGAAGUACUGACGAAGCAGAGACGGCCAUUUUCAUGGCAGGAACAAGAGGCCAUUUAAAAAGGGGGAAAGGGCUGUUCUGCUCGAUCAGUGCACCAGCAUUUGUCUACCUACAUGCACCAUGCAUGUGCACCGAGGCUGGGCCCAGAACAGUGAAUCUCUGCCUUAUUUCCAAGGUCUGAACAAAACAUACUUUUAUUUUUAUUUUUUGAAAAUGCUAAAUUUGCUUAAUUGCGAGCCUUUGUGGAGCUCAGCUGGGACUGCCUGCGUGUGUGGGAAGGGCUGGAACGUAAUUGCUUUCAGCAGAUAUCACUGUAGUCUGUAAUUAAAACAUAUGAGGCUGCCAGCUUCAGAUUUUCUAAGUGAUUUCAUCUGUAUUUGGGUGAUCACCUCUCUCUGAGAGGCUCAUAUUAAAUGAUAUUUCAAGUUCCAGUGCACCAAAUGGGUGAAAAACAAUUUUGUCCUCUCCUUCUUGUAGUCUCCAAGCAAGUCACCUAGGCAGCUUGGAGAGGCAGAGCUCAGACCUCAUACGCACAUCCCUUCACCAGGGAAAUGCUUGGUGAAAGCUGCUCAAGAAGUGCUGCUCCAGAGACAGAGCGGAAGGUGUUGAUAAAGCUUGUUAAAGAAAAAGGAAGGGGGGAAAAAAGGCUAACAAAAAAAAUCUGGCACCUCCUAAAUCAGAGUGACAAUUUCAGUGCAGUGUUUACAUGAGGUAGUAAAAAUAAAUUGCCUGAGACUGAUUAUACCCACAUGGCACUCUAAAGGCAACAGGGAUGUCCCCCAGUAUCAGAAACCCAACACGGGGGAAAUACGUGAUGAUGGCAACCCUCAGCCCAUUGGGGCCAGCACUGCUUUGUUACUUGCCUCAAUAGGUGGAAGCAGCAGUGAGAAGAGGGAUCUGCAACUCCCCACAGAUAGACAUGAUCGCCCCAGGAGCCAUGGUUGGCUUACAAGGCCACUGCUGUUGAGUCCUACAAGGGCUGUAGACAAAGGAGCGUGUGGGUUUGGGGCAUCCUCAAGCUUGGACAACAUACGCCUGCUGGAUCAAAAUGGGUAAUGGAAGAAGGCAAAGAUGAUAGCAUCACUGUUAGAAUUGUAAUGAGUCACAAAUGCUAUUUUGAUGGUUUUCUUUGAAAGACAUGCACAAGAGCCAACCGAUGUAAUUGAAGAUCUCCAAGGCUUUGUAAUCAGCACGGCCACAAACGAAGGCAAACCUACUUUCAUGUGGUAGAAUACAAGAGGAGGUUCCCCAUGAAAAUUAAAAAAAAAGGGGGGGGGGGGUGGGGAAAGAAAGAGAAAAAAGAAAUUUUGAAGGGUUUUGUUUGUAGUGAUACCAGGACAUGAAGGACAUGCAGCCCCCAGAAUGACUGCAACAGCCUUCACGGCUGAGAUGUUUAAACCUAAGGAAUAGGAUGGGUCACUCAGCAGACAGUUUUUAUUCUUGGCAAGUAAGCUCUGAGCAUGGGGAAAGUGAGCAUUUUUGGCCUACGUGUGACCACCUGGGACUGAUCUGCUCGGAGGAGCAGGAAACACCAUGCAGUUGACCUGAUAGAAAUAGCUGCUGUUUCCUUUGCAUCCCAUCACCACGGGGCUGUGAGGUGCACCGUACCCCUGUGUGCAUCCAGUGUUUGCUGAAAAACAUCAGGGAAAUGGCGAGAGGGUGGAUUAAUCUGCCUGAAGAAGCUUGUGAUUAAUGCAACUUGGAUGGUGCUGUGGGAAGGCGGAUGGCUUGAAAAGAUGGAAGGAAGUCUGAGGCUGUCCUGGCUUGAUACUAUAUAUGGUCUUUGGUCAGUUCUGCCUCAGAGACUGCAGCCAGAAUCAGAUUUUUACUGUAUUUCUUUUGAAAGCGGAAAAAUGCUUGAAUAAUUUCACCCAGCUCAAAGAGCUGAGACAGAUAGGUCCAACAGUAAUCCAAGUGGUGAUGGAUGGGUCCACCAGCGAUCCCCGCUAUGAACUGGCUGCACCAGCAGGAUGAUUUCUCAGAGCACGAGCUGUGAGUUUGACCAAGUCCCUUCCAGCAGCCCUACUUAGGCUGCAAAGCCCCAGAGAUUUGUGCUUUCAUGCAGAUCCAACCUGCACUGAUAACCAGCACUGCUGAACGCGCUGGAACAUCCCCCCUCCCCACCCCUUUUUACAUCUGCUCUACAUUUGCAUCUCAGAAAUUAGAGAACUGAGCUAUGCAGAAUUACAGAGCACGGGCUGGAGUAUGGAACUGAUUGGGUAUUCAGGCUAAAUAAGACGAGUUUAAAGAUCUUUCCAGGAAAUUGAGUGGAACACCCAAACUGACAUUCAGUAUUAAAUAUUAUAUUUGUGCAGUUGCUCUCCAUAGCCCGUUGGCACUGAACAUCUGGGAGCACGAUUUAUAACAUACAGAAACUGAAUACCUGCUCAAAAUUAUGCUCAUCAGAGCUCAGAAAUUAAAAUAUUACCCUGUACACUCCGAGCCACUCCAUUCCUAAAAGGUAAGGCUAUUAAAAUAUGAUUAGCUGAGCCAUAUCUGGUCUCAGAAAUGUCAUACACCAUUACAACUGAAAAGACUUUGAUGCAAUGCUGUUGGCAAAGCCCCCUGCUUGAUCAGCAGCAAGAUGCCUAAGAAUGAACCUUGCAAAUACUUGCCCCAGCAUCAGGAGGGAAAUGCAGAAGAGAAGGGGAGCUGCUGGUUGGAGAUGCUGGAGUGGUUUGGGUCUUCUAUUUAGGGUAGGCAAGAGCUGAAAGCUUGAAUGCUAUUAUUAUUAUUAAUAUGGAAAGAGUCCCGCUGCCCUUUGCUGUCCAUUGCAAUGGGCUUCUUAUCCUUGCCCAGUACAGAGGUAGCCCCAUUGCUGUCCCCAGCCAUCGCUGCUCCCGGCCCUGCGCUGCCACAUUUCCAAGAGCACUCCAUGGGUGGUCGGGGUCACAUUUCCCCUCUUGUUGGAGAAUAAAAUCCAAACAACAGCCACAGAAAACCUGUAGGCACUGGGCUCAGGUUGGGGUGAUUACAAUCCUCUGCUUCUUGCAAUGCAAGAAAUUAUAUAUGCAUAUAUAGAAACACAUGCAUAUAUCUUGUAGAAUACCAGUUAGAAUGAUAGAAUUAUAUAGGGAUAUAAUGACAUAUUAUCUAAUCUAUACAUUAAAAUGAUGUUAUAUUUAUGUAAAAUCUUUCGCAAUACAUGAUUGUCUCUCCCAAUGAGGCAUUGAACAGCAUUCACCAUUAAACAUUCCUAUGCUGGUAUCUCUGUAAGGGCUCAGCUGGGGAUGGUCCCCCCAGGUCUGGGGCACUCAGCUCUGGCCAAAGCCUUCCCUAGGGCUGGCCAUGUAAUCCCAGCCAUGAUGCCUCAGCCCUAUUACCCUUUGCCCACCCCACAGCCAGCAGAAUUCCCUUAUAUUGAAGCCUGCAUGCCCCGGCCCUGCGGGAGCUGCCUCUCCCCGCCUUUGUCAGGGCUUAUUACUCCAUGUUUUCACACUUAUCCCCAAGGUGUUGAACUCACCCUGAAGGUUAAUUAGUAAUUUAUUGCGCUGUCAUCAGUUGGAGGCUACUAAUGGCUUCAAUUUAGCCCUAGGGCUCUUUUUUUUUUUUUUUUUUUUCUUUCUUCCUCCCUUCCUUUCCUCCUGCCUGCUCUGGAGAAGCUGGAAGCUGCAGUGCAUGGGAAAGCAGCAGAACUACCAGCUGGAAAUAUGGUCUCAAGGGGCUGAAGGUGGCUCUGGGUGCUGUCCUGUAUCCCUGGCCCGGUCAGCAAGAAAGCAAUUUAAAUCAAUUCACCAGAACGGCAAAGCUGAGAGCACGUGCCUGUGCCUGUGCUUAGCAACAUCACCAGCUGCUAUAGCAGGACAGCCUGCAUAGCAUAGAGGAUGGCACACCGACCCCACCACCUGACCUCUGGGCAUCUGCUUUUUGCACUGCACACCUGCAAGGCUCAUUGCUGAGCAAUGGGAGCCUCUGUGGUUGGAGCUGAUGAGGGAUGGGUGGCAAUAAGGAGCUGUUCUGCCCAUCCCAUAAUGCCCCUCCAGCAUGCCUCAAUUUCUCUCCCACCCCAUCAUAGUGAUACCAAACAGAGUCCCCAGGAUGGCACACUGUGCCCCCCUGCUGUGUGUCACCCCAUGUCCCCACCAGCCCUGUCCCGAUGAAGUACCUCUUACAAAACAGCCAUGCACUGAUUUCUUUUCUUAAUUAUUUUUUGGAAAAUAACCGAAUAACCCCAUUUCCUGUGUUUAUACAGACCAUUAGGUAAACCAGCCACGGGAAGGGGGAAGAGAAGGGAUGCGGGAUGGAAGCGAGCUCUGCAGCCAGGUCAGGGAGGGUGGGGGGGGGGGUGGGUUAGCUGCAGGGGAGGUGACACAUGAGUGUGUUCCACUGGGGACAGCUGGCAUGUGAGGCCUCACCUGGGUGACAACAGCAGGAUGGUGCCUGGCAACCCACUGGGCUCAGUGCAUCCUCCUUGCUGGACUGGGAUUCAAGGGGGAGAAGGCUUGGGAGAAGGGAAAUUGAGUGAUAUUAGGGGAAAGGGGACAAAUUAGACCUCAUCAAGCAUGCAGCUUCUACAAAAAGGGCUGUGAUGUGGCUCUUGCAACGUGCACAAGCCAAUGGCAGAGCAAGGCAGCAGGAUGCUCACGUCAGGUAAGAGUGAAAGGGAAAGGUGCAUUUCUCAGAAGAAUGAGACCCAAUUGCCCACCAGAAAGGAAGGAGGCAUGGACAUCACUUUGGAUUUUGAUGAAAAAAAAAAUAAGAAAUAAAAGAAAACCUAUAUUUAGCUUCCGACUUCAGACACAGCGUGAGGAUUCCUAUAGUAACAUCUGCUAUUCCCCUCCCCUGUUUAAUUUAUGGCCGUUAACUUUAGGGCUAAGGACAGUUUAUGGAAAAAAACACCUGCUUUCUCCUACUCCCAGGGCAAGGGUGGAAUUUUCUCUGACUCUGCAUCCUAAAUAAAGCUCCGUUCCAGGCCCCGAUGAUUCAUAGCACGGCUCAUGCACACAUGCCUUAUGUUAGGAGGCCCUGUCAGAUGCUCAUGCCCCUUUCUCCAGGACUCAAGCACGGAGUUCAUUUAUACACAUCACUGGGGCCAUUCUGGGGGAAACCUGAGCCCAGAGGUCCCACUGUGCCCACCUCCUGCAGAAAAGCUCUGUCCACGUUAUGGUCAGUGGGAUUGCAGUAAAUCCUCCCAGACUGGACCUGAUUUUGCUGCUUCCCAGCAAAGUGCAUCUUCUCCAAAUGCACCUUAAACAUGCACCGAGCUCAGCCCUUGCUCUGCUUGCUCAGCAAGGCAGUAUGUCAUCCCUCCAACAAAGAUCCCUGGCUCUGCUGCUGUCAGCAUGAAAGAUGGCCCCAAGCUUUCACUCAGGGUUGCUUGUCAAGAAGUAAAACACAUAAGGAAAAAAAGAUAAAGCUGAAAAGAAAGUAAAAAUGGGAAUUGUUGGCAGCAAAAGGAAGAUAAAACACGCACGCUCAUCCAAGCUCAUGUCUGAAAACUGAUAGGCAGCACUCACACAGCAUACAAAGACCUCCCACAGAGUGCAGUGCUGUGAUCUGGAGCAUCCUGCAGACCUGAAGCCCCAACGAGACUUUGCCCACCCCACGAUGCACCCUUAUGGGGUGGGGGCUCCUCAUCAUUCAGAGCUGGGAGCAAAGCGUGGUGGUGGUGGUGGAGAGAAGGCUUUGACUAAUCUUGUAACCUUUCCUUUUAGUGUUUAAGAGAACCGAAGUCUGUUUACAAUAAAACAGAGUGAUAUUUUUCAUCCUUCCAAAUGGAACAAGGGUUAUAUAAACAAAGUAACCUCAGACACAGCAAACACCUGUUGGAGGGAACUGGCUCACAAAGACACACACAAGCUAUCUGUCUAUCUAUCAAGGCCUCCCGUUGACUUGUGGUCAAGUUCAAGUUGAAGUGCACGGCACAGAUUUGCUGAUGGAAGAAGGCUGCGAUAAGCAAAAGCAUUAGUGAGCGCCCAUGGUUUCUGCUCCGGAGGUUAGCAGAGCAGCAAGGAAUAGUUUAGGUCUGAAUGUACCCAAAUAAUUUCUCAGCCAGAUUGGAGCAGUUUUCCCUGUUCUCUGGUAUCUCACUUCCAAGAAGAAACCCCAAAUCAGGAAGUUAUGGAAUAAACUGUUGCAAAUCUCCCUGUCUUCCUUCUACUCCCUAGCUCAUGUUUCAGUCCUGCACCAAAAUAUGUAGGCUUUGAUUUCUUCCAAACUGCUGCGGUUUUGAUUUUUCUCCCGAAGUAAUCAAACUGAAUGCAACUGUGUGCACAUGAUCCUACAGGCAGGCCAAUGAAAUCAUUAAGCCUUUGGGCUUCAAUGGUGUCUUGUGGUGGUGGGUUCCGCAAAUUAAUUAUGCAUCUCUUGCUGCAAUAUGAGGCUCCACUGCAUCUUUGCUAAUUACCAACCUAAUGCAGCAAGAUCAGUUGUGUCAUUUCCUUUUAUUCAGCCUUUUUUUUUGUUUCACAAAGGUUUCUCAAAACCACCCGGAACUGUGCCAGGAAGUCCUACACCUGUGAUCCAGCAAUGACUUAGGGUGAGCUCUAAAGUAAUGCAGAAAUCACAGAAUCACAGAAUUGCAGGUGUUGGAAGGGACCUCCAGAGUUCAUGGAGUCCAACCCCAAAUGGAAGACAUCCAACAACCCUGGCUUGGCCUGCUGUGCUGUCGGGUCCUCCUGACAUCCCUUCAGCACAGAAGCCUGUGGGGAGAUAAUCCAGGAGAUACCGCAGCAUCCCGCAGUAGGGAGGUUAGUUUGAUGACUUGCUUUAUUGUGUGGCAUGAUUGGAAUUGGUGAAAUGAGCGCAGACUUUUCCAAAAGCCAGUCAGAAGAAGACGUAGCCUUCUCCAUCCUGAGGAAUGACAUUCCCCAUGAACCGGGAGAAGAAUUUUCAAAGCUAUUCAAAGUCAUGACAGUUUGAUCCUCAUUUUAGUUUUUCCUCUUCUAAUAGCAGGACAGAGAAAUAUUAUUCAUUCCAGCACACCACGAAGCAGAUUUCUCAUACAACAGCCUAGUUCCACUGAAGCCGUGGAUGCACGCCAGCCUGCGCCUAUUCAAGCAUCUAGCUUCAUAUCUUUGCAUCUUGGCUUUCAGCAGGUCUGCCUCAAUGAAGUUGAGGAAGACUCCAGCAGAGCACCAACCACCCAUCCACCUGACAUCCAAUCCCAGUUGAUAACUUUACGUUGCACACUGGGACUGGAGCUGAUAACAGGCAAAGAGAAAGGCUCUCUUCCACUCUGUGCAUGGUUGUAACUCUUCCGAAAGCUUUGCUAAAAAAACAUUUUCCCACCUGUAAUGAGAGAGGCUGCCUUGUUUGCCUGGGCUUUGUAAGUGCGUGCUGACAGGUUGUGUGUAAUGUCAUCUCCCUGUUCUUAGCCCUGUUCCAAGUUCGGAAAUCCAGAGGGAGGAAUGGGGACUGCUGUGCUGGAAGGGGAGGGGGCUGUUUCAUUUCUAAGUUUUUGCAUCAUUGCCUGAUUUUUCAGAAGCUUUCAGACACCAAGAAAAGCAUAGUUUAUCCCAUACAUUGCACUCAAAUCAAACCAAACAAUAACCUGAAUCAACCUUUAUCAUCGUAUCAUAGAACCAUAGAGUCACAGAGUCAUACAAUCAUUUGAGUUGGAAGAGACUUUAAAGGCCAUCUAGACCACCUCCCCUGCAAUGAGCACUGAUAUCUACAGCUACACAUCAAACCAAGACACGAUGCUUCUGUGGCAAAGCAGGGCAGAGAGGGUUGCUCUUGGUCCUAACCCAACAGGUUGAUAUAGAUGAUGGAAGUCAUGUUGUUCUCCAGGCCAGCAAAUAUUUGUGGUCACUUGGUACUCAGUUCACUAUCAACACACAGUGGUCUCUGCACUCAUUUUACAUAAAAUUGCCCAAGUGUUUUUACAUGUCUAUCUCUAUUCUAUGUAUUUUAUGUAUUAAUUAAUGCUUACAACCCACUUGGGUCAGAAAAAUGAGUCUUGGAGAAAGUGAUUUCUUAGCUGCACAUUUCUCAUCAUUUCCAGAUCUUGCUCCACCUCACUGACUUUGCAUGAUGUUGCACAGCCAUUCCCUUCCCCUUCUCUUGAAUCCGUUCUCAGCACACGGGCAUUUCACAAAGACACCCACUGCCCAGCUGUAUCAGGCCUUGGCCACACACAACUGCUCUUAAUUUGUACCAGUCUCUCUUAUCUAUCUAGUCAGCAGUAUUUAAGGAGCAUAUUAACUGCAAUUUGGCUUCCUGGCUGCGUGUAGGACAUGCUUUCUGCCCUGUUCUUUGCUCUUUUGGUUUAUCUGACUUUUCUGUGGAACACUCCAUGUACAUGCUGGGAAGCAGACAGUAAGUCACAAAGCUCUUAACAUUUUCUCUUUGUGAAGAAAUCUGGCAUUUCAUCUUUAAAUACUUAUUCAACUUGUUCCUUAGUAUAGUCUUAAUAUAGCUCCUUUACUGCGUUCCAGUAACAGCCAGGCACCAUGUCAUAAGAGUGACUCAUCUUCUUAUCCAAGACUAUACAUACUCCUUACAAAAACACACAGCUGAGCACUCUUAAAUAUUUAUCUCAUCCCCAGAAGAGAGAUAGGCCCAGUAUCGUUAGGUCUGAGCCAGCGUUUGUGUCCAGGUUUAGAUCCCAAUUUCUCAGCUUAUGCUGUACUUUCUAGGAGGGUCAGAUCAGAGCAACUCUACUCAGAAGUCUUUGUGCUGUUUCCUGCACAGGGUUGGAAAAGAAUUCCCAUUCCUGUCUUGGGAACUUGGAUGAACAGAGCAAAGCAAGGACACAAGGUGCGUGCAGCAUACACUUUGUAUGCUCAUUCCUGAAGCAGAUUUUUAAGAGACAGGAGGAUGCUUGGGUGCCACGCAACCCAACAUCUCAGAGGUCCCAUUGCCAGCAGGAGCUCUGGGAGGAGAGAACACGACUGCACCACCAGCUCCGAGUUUCUAAUGUGGCAUUGUAAGGUUGACUUGCUAUGGAUCAGGUCAGACCAAACUCUGAGCCCACUUCCACUGAUUUUGCAACAUCGCAAAAAGCAGUGACGUUAGCCAAGUCAUUUCCAUAUAAACAAGAACAAAAUCAAGUGGAUGAAACUUGGAUCUGGACAGGGGUGCUCAGAUCCAACUUGCUGGCUCGAGCUUUCCUGUAACUAACGUCCAACUUGGGCAAUGAGAGCAACAGAGCACAACUUGCAUGCCUAUCUCUCCUUUCCCAGCCUGUCCAAGGAGUCAUCGUUGUCCCAGGCAACGACUGCCGUUCCUAACACUCAGUGCUUUCUGUAUUUACACAGACACACUCCCUCAAGGUCACCUUUUGGCUGCUUCCUUCCCAUCUCCUGGAGCCCAGCAUUAUCUCUGCUGAUUGCUUCCAAUUAUAACACAUUCUUGAUUUUUUGACUUUUUAGAUAACAUUGGAACUUCUUCCAAGCUACUCUGUCUUCCUGCCAGUACCUUUUCAAUCUGAUGGGAGAUGAGUGCAUCUCGUAUCUCACAAGACUGACUCCUAACUCUAGGCAUUGGGGCAUAAUACCACUGUGCCAAAACAUUACAUAGAACUCAACACUGGGAUAAUACAAAGAGUGUUGUAAAUUAAUAGCUGUUCGCAACACAUCGAUACUAUCAUCAAUACUUUUGUUUUCAGGGUUCUUGGAAAGCCAAGCUGUGAAGGUACAGACUAAGAAAAAAAAUAUAAAAAAAGCAGACUGGAAUAAAAUAACUGCUCCUUGAGCUGCCUCUUGCAGAUCCUUGUUGGGCAGGCUGGCUGCCUGGCGAUGGAGUUCCACACAGCUCUGUGCCUCUCACUGGUAUCUAUGGGCUAACGUGGGAGCAGCCACUGUAACUCAACUUCAAGCAUUAGGGGCAGAUGAUCCAUACUGAUCCAGGCAGCCCUACCAAAGGAUCACAAGCCCGGACGUGCUCUGGAUGAGCAGCUAUGACUGCUUUGUCUGCAUCAGGUCCUGGAGAGCUCAACCACAGCCCUGGCCACCACCUCCUGGCUCUGUCCCUCCACCUUCACCUUCCCCCUCCGGUUCCCCAUUCCAGCACAACUGAGCUUGGCUCUGCCUCCCCAUUCUUCAGACAACAACAUGCAGCUCUGCCUAAGCUGCUGAGAAACCUUGAGCUGUGUUUCAAAAACCCCACUCCCACCACAGCCAGAGUCAGUGGCUGCAAGCCUCACCCAAGCCAACAGAGCAGCACGGAAAGACACCACCUGACUUACUUGGCUCUAACCCUUUGAUUAUUGACUUCAAUGGGAAGAAACGCUGGGCCUCCAUGACUUCUUGCUGACCCCAGAAGAAGUUUAAGCAACAAACUGUUCUCUUGUCCUCUGCAGCUCCCAGAGGAGCUCCCAGUGGAACAGACCACGAGUGUGUGCAAGGUAAGCAGCCCAGCGUUUGGAGAGCACAACAACGCCAAGGCUGAGAAUGCUAAUUGUUCUCCAUUGCCCCCAGUGAUUUUAGCAUUUCAUAACUCCUCUGCUGGCUGACAGCUGGAUUCUUCUCUAAUUAGAAACCAGUUGUAGCUGAAAAAUCAGACAUUUCCUGGAAUUUAAAUAGCCAGUUUUCCACCAGUCAGAAUCCAGCAACGCAACCGUACAGUCCUGUUCUAAUCAUGCUGGGGAGCACAGUGGAUAAGUAGGGAAAAGGGGAUUCUGAGGACUUGACUUUCCUGCCUUCAGAUACACACAUUCCUGGAUCUUCACAUUCCGGCUAAUCUUGUAAGCUGAUAAUUUUAUUUUUAAAGAAGGAAGUAAUACUAUUCAUCGAUGCAACUGCAAUUCAGUCUUUUUCAAUUCUUCAAUACUGGGGAUAAGGCUGUUAAAGACAGAACUGGCAGCUGACGAUACGAUUACUCAUUUAUUCUUUAGGAAACACAUUUACUAAUAACUAAAGCAGAAUUAAUACUGAUUAUUUCCUUAGCUGAUUGAUGCAGGACCGGACCACUUUCUCUCUGUUGCAAGUUGCUAUGGUGGUAAGGAAUAAAAAACUCAGAACUCCUCCACCUUCAACUAUCGAAAAGGCACAAGGAAAAGGAUUUGGACAGCUGCUGGUCUCCAGGAAACUCCACAAGCAGAGAUCGUCAGCCCUGUAAUCCUAAUUACAUCCUUGGGGACUGACAGAGAAGACAGACCUGAACACACACCAGUGCAGGCAGGAACAGCAACACCGUUUGACAGCCCAUCUUCUCAGCUGCUCUUUUCCGUUCCAGAGCACACAAAUGUAUUUUUCAAUCUAUCUCCUGUGGUCGUGGGAGAAAAAUAAUCCUUCAGCUGUGUGUGAUUAAAAAGGGCAAUGCUUGAGUUUGCAAGCAGCCUGAAAAGGGCUGGUAGAGGUUUGGGAGCUUGCCUGUCCCUGUGAGCUGUGUACCAAGGCCUUCUGAAGGGAUGUCACUUAGCUGCAUCUUUGCCUUCAUUAAGAGAGGACAACCAUAAGUAGAAAUGGGCACUGUGUACUUAAUGUGACCUCUGAAUAUGUGAUGAUGACAUGAAGAGCUGCCCCAGACUGAAAACCCUGACGCAAGAGCUCAGAUGUGAUUGCACCUGGGGCAUCUGCAUACCAAGUAAUUUCCAGAGAAAGUUAUUUUAUUUGUGAAAGAAAUUUACUUUCUCAAAAAGUAACAACCUAUAUUGCUUUUUGUUUCUUCUCUCUUUCCCUUGAGGCAGCAGGGUUUCCCCCAGAAUAUCUCAUUCUCAUGGCCUCGUCUAUUUUGUCAUCACGUGAGAAGCUCACAAAUGAAAUCCACUGUCAGAGUCUUCUGCCGGAAUCAGAACCUUUCAUUCCAAGAGGAUGGAUCAACAGAUCACCUUUGGCUCACCAAGAGAAUCAAAGAAUCACAGAAUGAUGGGUUGGAAAGGAUCUCAAAGAUCAUCCAGUUCCAGCCCCCUGCCAUGAGCUCCCCCAGCCACCAAAUCAGUCUCUAGAGCAUCUCUAGAGCCCGUGGCCCCGUCCAUUCUGGUCUUGGGCACCUCCAGGGAUGGGGCACCCACAACCACUCUGAGCGACCUGUACCAACACGAACCUCUCUUUUACUCACAAAAAAAGUGCAGUGCUUUGGGCAAUGGCCUCCUGGAAAGCAUCUGGAGAGGCAGCAGGUAUUGCACAUACACACAGACAGAGUCAAACCAGAGGCAUUUGCACAUCUGAGACCUUACAGCAUUAUUCCAUCUCCAGCUCAUUUAAAGCACAGGUGAGAAGCUGUGGCAAAUGCUCUGGAAACGACACAGAUCAUCACGCUCUACAGUUUGUCCCCAGACAGCAUCCUGUCCAACGCGUGGUUUGCCAGAUGCAUUUAAAAAGCUUCCUUGGCCUUCAGCAAGGAAAAGAGAAAACAAGGAAGAACACCUGUUUUAAGGAAUAGCAGCAAUUCUGGAGAGCAUAUGCAGAGGCUUCCAGAGGGGUUUUAAAAUGGGCUUGUCAAGCAACAUAAAUGGAACUGUUAUUCCUAAAGUUUAUUCUGAGAUUUAUGGAUACUUAACCCAUAAGCCCACAGCAAACAAACACUGCAUAAAAGCCCCAUGGGUAAACAGAAAUAACAAAGCCCACAUAGAUCGCUAUGGUUGCAUUGGAGGAAAUCUCUUUGGAAGAGGCUGCUUGACUCACGCUCAACCUUUCUGCCCAUGCACAGCUUCCUAUAGCAUGCAGGAGGAUAUAUUUCAUCUGGUGGGGGCUCUGAUGCCUGUCCAGCAAAUCCACGAUGCCAAGCUAAACCUUCGCCUGGUUAUUAGUGCUUGAAAGAGGCAUUGCAAAAAGUUUCAAAGUAAAUUCUCUGGAAGCCCAACAAGAGCCCACACUUCCCCCUGUAGUGCGUUCAUGGCGAGGAACCCAGCGAGGAGAAAUCACCGUGACCCCAUCCUCGUCAGGAAAAAUAAAUACAUUUUCUUCCAUCCGAGCUGCAAUCCUGCGUGGAACAAUUUAAGCCUUUCCUGCCGCCUCCAGACAUUGAGGGUAAGGUGUUAUGAGUGUUACUCUCUGGAACCAGGAAUGAAAGCUUCCAUCCACCCUGCUGCUGCUGAGCUGCCUCCAGCCCAGCUUGGAGCCUUCACUCUGGGGGAAAAGAGGAAACCAUCUGGCCUUGUGGGAUGCCUAAAGCGCUCAGUCUUUUAGCCAGAAAGCUGCUCUUACAGAAAGCUGUACUGCGUGAUGACUACAGGACAUCGCCGUGACCUGAGCAACCCUGUGUAGCUUCAAAGCUGAUCUUCCUUUGGCUGGCACCAGAGGGUCUCCAGAAGUCCCUUCCAAGAUAAAUAUUACGUGGUUGUUACAACUGCUUUGGCAUAGGAAUCCCAGUAUUCAUAAGAUGAUAAAUCCCAGAGGUAGGCUCCGAUGUGCAAGCAGCUGAUGGCACAGCAUGGCCCUGCCCUAGGAAGCAGCACAGACUGGGAAGCAAACAAACUGGGGAGAUUGGAGAUAAGAAAGAGGAUUUUUAUGACAAAUGUGAUGAGGCACUAGAACAAGUUGCCCAGAGAUGCAAUACAAGCUAUCUGUGGAGACAUUCAAGGUCAAGCUGGACAGGGGCUUUGAGCACCUGAUGGAGCUGUAGCUGUCCCUGUUCAUUGCAGGGGAGUUGGACCAGAUGGCGCUUAAGGGUCCCUUUCAACUCAAACAAUUCUACGUUAUGGAUCCCUUCUAACAAAAUAAAAUAAAAUAAAAUCCCGAAAUAAACCAGAAAUCCCUUUGAAGGACAUCCACAUCUUAACAUGAGAGGUUGGCAGGUAGCAACAGAGCUGCAGUAAAUUCCUGCAGACCUCCAGGCUUAUUUAUGAGGCAUCUCAGGCACUAUAAAUGGCUUUUAUUUUUGUGAAACAUGCCAGGAAAGGAGGGGGGGAGCUAGACAAAGGAAGGAGGGCUUUGCUUGAGAAGACACCCAAACAAGCUAGGAUGAAGAAGCUGUACAAUGCCCUGGAUGAGCAUCAGGCCCAUGUCCCGCUCCCCUGCGGAUCAUGGCUGGGAACAAGAGGCAGUGAGAACACUCAUUACUAUUGACCUUGUCCUCAUGCUGAUGCUAAAAAGCUGCUUCUCUACCCGCUGUAGGUGACCCUGACACGAGCCUUGAAGGAACAUCAGUAAGAGAUAUCCCAAUUAAAUCUAUUUGGAAGCUAUUCAGCACAUAUUUUCCCCUUUCCAAGACAGCAAGGCUGUGACUAACCAAAGACAUUUGGGAGAAGUUUUUGCUUUCCCUGGGCACAGAAUUUUGUUUUUAUUUCUUUCCUCCUUUAUAUUGGUGGGGGGGGGGGGAGGGGGGAAGGAUACCUGGACCAUUUCUGCAGCCCUUCUUCUCUUCCUUAGUUUGACUCUAUCCUUUAUUUUCAUUUUUUCACAAGCUCAGCCCCAAACUCAUUAGAGAGUAAAACCCUCCCUAGAAAUAUAGGCAAAAGAAAAAAAGGAAAAAAAAUAAGAAUCCUCAGUUUAUAAGCAAGCCUACACAGCUCAGGUGGUGUCUAAAAAGAGUUUGCAAGUCCAUCCUAUGAGCUCACCUACUGCCAUUGCUUGGUAUUGCAUACACUCAAUGCCAAACUCCUUCCCAUAUCGGUUAGAGGACCCCAACCAGAUGUUAGCCCUAAGCCAAUUGCACACCUAGCCAACUGUGUGCUGCUUUACCUUCAGAGCUAGAAAUGAUUCUUGCUGACUGCUACAAAAUCCUGCAUGUUUGGGCAUACCAGAAACACAUUUACCCUUUAUCAGAUUAGUUUUACAAUAGUCCUUUCCAUAUAUUCCAAUUAGACGCAUUUAUCACCAAAAAAAAAAAAAAGAAACAUCUAAAGGCUCUUUAUAAUAAACCUUAUUUAAAUCUACCCCACACUUUGGUUAAUUGUUUCUGAGUUAAGGAGCAGCUUUUUCCAUGAACAAUAGCAACGUGGGAAGAUCUCAGCACAUCACAGGAAACCUUGGGAGGAAGCAACCAAGACGAGCUGGAUGGAGAGCUCAUUUUGGUCCUUCCAGCUUCCUUUCCCAAUUCUUUUUUUACUGUCUAGGACUCUGAAAGUUUUGAUGCCAUCUCAGGAAUAAAAAAAUCUGUGUGUACAGACUACAAUAAUAACUGAAAAGACUAUCGUCUUGCAGCUCUGUGUAUUCUACAACAAUGAGCACUUCAACAAAUAUAAAUAAAAACAGCUUUUCCUCUUCUGACUUGUCCCAUGGAGAUUUCGUUGGGCCUCCACAUAAUCCAUGGGAUUUCUGAAGCUUUUAGUUUUAACCAAGUAAUUUGUACGACUGCCCGAGACGCUUCCAAAUGUGCAGUAACUGGAUUUUGGUACGCUCCCAACCGCCUAAUUAAAACCAUAGAAUAGAAUCAUUGGGCUUAGGUGAUUUUUAAUUCUUCUUUCUUCCUCCUUUUAUUUUUUAAUCAAAAGAAACCUUCUGAGUCACAUAUCCAGGGGAUUAUUCCAAACAGCACUUUGGAAAGGGCACACACUGGAAAUCCUAUAUAGCAGCAGAGGAGAGUUGUCACGCAUGUGUGUAGAGCUCGUUUAGACUGGAUGCCAAAGGUUACGGUACACACAGGAAAAAAUCAAAUUACUUAUGAUCCUCUUCUUACUGCAUCCCUGUCAGAAUGAUGUAAUGAGGAAAAGAAGAUUUCCCCUUCCAAAGUCUUAACGAGGAUUUUGGAACAACUGAUGAAGGAGCAGCGCUAGGGGAGCCCAGUGUUGAGGAGCACCAGCAAACAGUGCACAGCAAAGCCUCACACCUCAUGGGAGAUCUCCUUCAGAGGACCCCAACAGCCUGCUGCAGACUACCCUUCACAGGGGUAAACUCAAGCAACAAAAUGCAAAAGAUUUUCUCCAACAGAUGCAGCCUACUUGGAAACAGCAGCCCGUGAACAAGACGUGGCUUCUCUCCUUGCUGUGUCGAUACAGCCAGCAAUCAAGAUUUGGGCCUUUUAUUGUAAUUGUUCAGCACAAUAACACAGAUUGAAGUUUGGUUUUCGCGGUAUCUGGCUAGGCAUGUCGACCUGAUGUGGAUCAAAGGCUACAUGGUAGAAUUAAGCAAAUAUAAUCAGUGUAAUAUGAUUCAUUCUUGUCCUGCUGAGCAGAUGUUUGAACAGAUGUCAGGUGAAAAAAAAAUAUGUGCUGGGGAGUUAGCGCAUUAUUUUAAAUUAGUGCAUUUAAGAGACAGGAGUAUCUUUGUUAAUCCCGCUGAAGGUGAAAGCGAGUAUUUAUGACUUUGGUUGCUGGGAAGUUAUCCUCCCUUUGCCUUUUAGUGGCCAGCACUCUCCAGUUUCCCUAUCAGGAAGACAGCAGUGCUGGUGGGCUAGGAUAUUGGCCCAUCAGCUUGCUCGGCUUAGUUCUCCAUCAUCUUGGGAAGGAGCAUCUGAUGUGCUAAGUAAAGAGAGGGUUAAAUAUGGAGUCACUAUUGGCCUGUUAUGUGGAGAAGGUGGUCAGUUUGGAUUGCUAUACAGUUCCCAUCAUUAUACUGGGAGCUUGCUGCAGCACUUGUUCUCUGAUAAAAACACUUACAAAAAAC
Molecule: long non-coding RNA, 34546 nt
Filed under: Gallus gallus (chicken)
Lineage: Eukaryota; Metazoa; Chordata; Aves; Galliformes; Phasianidae
Description: lncRNA (ENSGALG00010010326.1)
Source: RNAcentral